RNAcentral lists this ribosomal RNA (494 nucleotides) under uncultured bacterium. Its description in RNAcentral is "bacterial SSU rRNA". It matches the Rfam family "Bacterial small subunit ribosomal RNA", at positions 899 to 1397 of the family's 1533-position model. The record is from RNAcentral.
ACUCAAAGGAAUAGACGGGGGCCCGCACAAGCAGUGGAGUAUGUGGAUUAAUUCGAUGCAACGCGAAAAACCUUACCAGGGCUUGACAUCCCAGGAAUCCCUCCGAAACGGGGGAGUGCCUUUCGGGGAAUCUGGAGACAGGUGGUGCAUGGUUGUCGUCAGCUCGUGUCGUGAGAUGUUGGGUUAAGUCCCGCAACGAGCGCAACCCUUACGGUUAGUUGCUACGCAAGAGCACUCUGGCCGGACUGCCGUUGAAAAAACGGAGGAAGGUGGGGACGACGUCAAAUCAUCAUGCCCCUUAUGUCCUGGGCUUCACACGUACUACAAUGGCGGCUAACAACGGGUAGCGAAGGCGCGAGCCGGAGCCAAUCUCAAAAAGCCGCCUCAGUUCGGAUUGUAGGCUGCAACCCGCCUGCAUGAAGUCGGAAUUGCUAGUAAUCGCGGAUCAGCAUGCCGCGGUGAAUACGUUCCCGGGCCUUGUACACACCGCCCGU